UUCCAACACUUUUUUUUUCCUGAAAAAGAAAGGGAUAUGCACGCACGCACACACACAUAUGAGCCCAUGGCACCUUACUGAAAGACCAGCAUUCCCAAAUACCGAAGGGCUUCGCCUAUAAAUACUUCCUGUGCUUCCUCGUCCCUUUGGCAAGGGCACUCAGCCUCUCAACACAAGCGCAAACACAAACACAAACACAAACACAACCAAGAAGUCAGUAGUAAUGGAGUACUGCUACCAGUACAACAGCGUCAGCAGCAGCAACUUGGCGAAGGAGAAGAGGCCGGCGCCGAAGAGGGGGCACGUCAAGAUGCAGAUCGUGAGGACCAUCAGCAACAUCGUGGCGCCGAGCAGCGGUAACAACAGCUUCAGAAGGGAACGAAGCUACAACUGAAUACCCCUGUCUCUGUCGUCUGUAGAUGUACAUAUAUAUGCAUAUGGCGUGCCCCUUGUAUCUGAACUUUUCUCUUUGAGGGGUUUAAUUGAGGGGUUUUAGCUGGACAGAGUAGACUGCCGCUCAUCAGAGCUGAGUGCCUGUUUGCUCGGAAAAGAAGUUUCUAUGACGACAAGAUUACAAUAACAUGAACUGUGUGCAGCAUGUAUAGUUGUUUUUUUUUUGUAACGCAAACUGGUCAUGUAUAAAAUCAACUCAGUUUUCAAUUCUCUUUGCUAUAUGUUCAUCUAUUGAAAGUGAUGGCAAUUCUAUUGCACCUUGUGUACGUUGUUGCCCUCUCGGGAGCACUUUGAUGAGUACUAAAGCAUUCAAGGAGACCCAUAGACCAUUCUCGAGGAAGAAGAGAGACUCUUCUUUCGUUGGGUAUCUUUGACCAUUGAAAACUCAAUAAUCAAGCCCGUGGCUGGCGCGGCCUUGCCGGUGAACCGGGGCUCCUGCUUAUUUGAGAUGGUCUCAAAGAGUUUCGAUCCUUCUGCAAGUGCAUCUUUUUGGUGGGGAGAAAAGGCGCAGCUUUAUGCACCCGGAACUUUUUCCACAUCCACUAUCCGCAUGCAUAUCCGUUUAACAUUAUUGCAAAGGCAGAAACAUUCCACAGCGAGGGAGUUGCAGCUAUGUACACGUACGCGAGUGAGCGAUUUCUUUUGGUGCAUGAGUGUGAUGCAUGGGAAUGGGAUUAGAUGAUAGGCUUCCUUUUCCACACCUCACUGCACUACAAGUCUACAAGCUGCGGUGAAGAAGUAUUGUCGAGACACGUCGUGCCUCGUGACUGCAACGGUGAAAAUUAUGCAGCAAAGUGACUUCUUUUUUUCUGCUUCUUUCUACCUACUUCUACCUUUUUUCCAAUUACACUGCACGCAUGGGACUCAUGACUGCAACGGUGAAAAUUAAAGCAGCAAAGUGAAUAUUGUAGCACCGUGCAUGACAACGAUGUUGAUAUUUCGAGAACAAGCAAGCAUGACCACAGUAUAAACGAAACAAGUACUAGUGCGUGCUUUCGCCAACAGUGCGAUAGAAAGCUGCAUGCAUAACGAUUUUUGGUCUCCCUUUGAGCUUGCUAGCUAGUACUAGCUAGCUAGGGUUUUCACAGGGACAGCAAGGGCUGAUGCAAAUCUUUGCGCGUCUUUUCCGGGUUUGGUGUCAUAUGCUUUAUGUGUGUUUUGGGACAAAUGUGACGGGUGACUCCUUUUCCAGUUUGCCACUUUGCUCGAUCGAAAAUGUUUGUAGCAUUUGAUACAGUUAGCAGUGUAGCCAAGAUAUCGUAGGAUAGAAGUAGGGAUGACAACGGUCAAAAAUAAAAUCAGUAAUGCUUCAUGAAGAAAGUCCAAUGCGGAAAAUAAAAAUCGGAAGCCGCAGUUCACGGAACCAAGUCAGACUCUCCUACAUCCUUAUCCUCUGGUACUCCUUUCUUCUUCCACCACACAAGCUCUCUCUCUCUCUCUCUCUCUCUCUCUCUCUCUCUCUCUCUCUCUCUCUCUCUCUCUCUCUCUCUCUCUCUCUCUCUCGCACGCAAGCGUGCAACCACAUGAGCUCACGCUUAAACCCGGACGUCCGCACAUGGCACGCAGCGGCAGCGAGCUCACGGGAUGCCUCCGCAACCAUGCCCUCCGCGCGAUGGGCCCAGGGGCGCCUACCCCACGGGUUAUCCACCACGAGCACCCGCGUCACGAUGUCCCAAGCGCCUCGGCGAGCAGCCUGCCGGCGCGGUUGCAGCAGUCGAGCGCCUCCCGACGGCCACCUCCUCCGCCCUCUCUCUCUCUCCCCAAUGACCGAUUGGGGCGACCUCCGUGCGAGCAAAAUCAUCGACAAAAUCAUCGAUGACGAGUGCAGAGGCGCACGAGUUUGAGCAUUGGUAGGUAUGCAUGUUGCAUGUGUUUCUUGGAAUUGUUUCAACCAUAAUUUUCUCAUUUUGCAUGCGCUUUUCCGAUAUUGCAACAUAUUUGAACAUGUUGUUUUCGAUGUUUCAAUAAUUGAUUGUCAAUGUGACACCUAGUAAUUUGAGAUGUUGCAACAUUUUUCAUCUUUGAUUUGGCCCUUUUUUGGUGAAGAGAUGAUCUUGCACCUAAUCAGGGUAGCCUCUUCAAUCCGUUUUAGCUUGCUGGCACGCUAUCCUCCACCGACGCGCUGUUCUCCUAUGGAUCCGCUGCUUGGAUAGGUUGAGACGGAUGCAACCUUAGCGGUAAUGUUGCGUGCAACAAUAGCAAAUGUUGCAGCGGUAGUUUUUUCUUUUUUUUUGUAGCGUCCGACACUAGCAUCCGGAUCGAACGUCCGGGCGCUAGCAGCUCCGAAAUAAAAUCAUGAUGUAGAAAACGAAAGCAGGACGAUCAACAAAAAUAGUAAAAAUGAUAUUAAAAUUAGUUGAUAUGAUAACUUUUAUAUUUUGCUAAAAGUAAAAAAUAAUUAAAAACGAAAUUAUAAUGUAGAAAACAAAAGCUGUCGGUUCAGCAGCACCUAUCCCGACUAUUUUCAUCCUAGAUAGGACGACACAAAUAAAGUACGAAAAAUAUCAUCGGGAACAACACGCUUUGUGUGUCUCUUGCAGCCCGGCCCAAACUUGCGCACCCAGGCCUGCGGGCUGGGGAUCAUCCACCCCUUUGAAAUCUUUCGGCGGCCUUCGACCAUCGUUCACCCUAGGCGAGUAGGCGGUAUGCUCGAGCAGCGAAGCGGCACCCAGCAGCCACGCCUCAUCGACGCCGUCCAGGUCGCCGAUCGCCGGAACGGCCGGCGCCCUCCCUUGCGCUCCCACGAUCGCAAGCAAGCCAGGCAAUAACGAGCCAACAGCGCUUGACAUUAGCCAUCUCGGUAUGUACCUUCCCUUUUCUUCCUCCCAAAUUCCGCUCUCUCCCAGUUAUCGGUACUGAUUCUUUCAGGGGAAGCGAGUUAAGAUUCAAUUGGAUGAUUCCUUUUUUUUCAAUUUUAUUGAUACAAUGGUAUAUUUUAGCAGCUUGGAAUCUAACUCUGUACUACUUGCUACAGUACACGUAAUGCGUUAAAGUGGUGCGCCCGGCAGCAACAGAUUUGGAGUUCCACACAAGUUUUGUUCCUUUUUUUUUUGGCUGAGUGAUUUCUUGUUGCAGCUCAAAGAUUUGUAGUUACUUAUUUUUAGGGGAAAGUCCUUGAAAGAGUGCGCUUAAGCUGGUUCAUAGUUCACGUCGAAUUGGGUAACAAAUAGUUACACGUGGAAAACACGACUUUAGUCCCUGUUGGAUAGGGUCAUAGAUCCCGAAAAUCCAACCGGGACUAAAUUUUUGAGAUAAAGGGGGAUCCUUUAGUCUCGAGUCAUUCACCCGGGACUAAAAAUCCCCUUUAGUCCCGGUUGGUACCAAAAAGGUUAAAAAGUUAAAAAAAAAAGUGGGCCGGCGGCCUCCGCCCGCCUCCGCACACCUCAGCUCCGCCUCCGCCCACCGCUGCUCCGCCUCCACCUGCCCGCCCGCACCCCGCUGCGCCUGCUGCUGCUCGGCCGCCCGCUUGCCCUACCCUCGCCCCGCUGCCGCUCCUCACUGCUAGUGAGGGGCGAGCAGAGGGAGAAGGGGAGGGGCAGCGCGAGGAUAAGGGAGGAAGGAGAGGGAGGCGCGGUGGAGGGAGAAAGGAGGGGAGGGAGGUGUGGUGGAGGGAGAGAGCUCACGCGGUGGAGGGAGAGAGGAGGCGCUACAAGAGAAUAAGGGAGGGAGCAAGGGUGAGGAGAAGAUAAGGUGGAGAGAGAGGGAGCCGUGUGGGAUGGGAGCCUUCUGUCCUGGUUGGUGUUUCCAACCGAGACUAAAGGCCCCCUUUAAUCCCGGUUGGAAUUACCAACUGGGACUAAACUAAAUCUUUAAUCCCGGUUGGUAAUUCCAACUAGGACUAAAGGGGGGCCUUUAGUCCCGGUUGGUGUUUCCAACCGGGACAAAAUGUCCUCUCGUCCCACUAGCCGUUACAAUCGGGACUAAAGGUGGGGGAUUUAGUCCCGGUUGGUGUUCACAACCGGGACUAAAGUUCCUCCUGUUGGCGCCCUUCGGUGUCUUAUUUUUUAUCUGGGACUAAAGGCACUUUAGUCCCGGGUCCAAAGUCAAUCGAGAUAAAAGUACCUGGAUCGAAGGUCAAUUCUCUACUAGUGAGUAUGAUCCACGUCGCGUGCUUGACCACGUGUAUAGACUGCAAGGCGUGCUGAAUAUCAAGUGUCAAGGCUGCCUGAGCACCACAUGCACUGGUUACAAGUGUCUCUAAACAAAGCAACACAUGUCUUUAUUUAAUAGUCUUCUCUGAAUUUGAAGCAGUACUUUCCCUUUUUCUAUGCUUACGGCUGUGAGAGCCUUUGAUGUUCCCACACGCAGUUAUUGAAUGUACAUAUCUGUUACAUUGUUUUUACAUUAGCAAGUGUAAAUUCUUGACGAAAAGUUGGUGAAAAUAAAGCUCAAGAAAUCGUAAGUCUCACUUCCUGGUACUGAUCUUCAAACCUAGCUAUCAGGCGUUCGAUUUUAAAUUUAUUUAUAUGCCUUUCAACAUGUGUAAAUUUAAAUCAUAUUACGCGCUACUCUUAUAUGUAGCAAUGCUCUGAAGUUUGAGUCAACCAGUACGUGUAAGAGUUCCUUAAUUGUUGUCUUCAUGUCAUGCACAGCUUUAAUUUGUUUUGUAUUAAGGUACAUGGAGAAAAUAUUUUAUUCAUAAUUUUAUCUAUAAUUUAAUUGUAGCUGUCAAAUACUUUUGUCAACUUUGGGUUCUUUUAAAAAAAUAAUGAAAGAAAUUUCAUUUUAAAUCAUGAAUAUAAAAAUAAAUCUCAUUUGAAUUGUUAUUGUAUUUCAAACCUAUAGACCAUAAAAACAGUACAUAUGCCUAGUUUUUACUUGAUGUUGAAGUUUAUGUAGGAAAAAUUGAAAACUUUUGGACAGUUUGAAUAGCAAUGAAGUUAGCAGUAGAAGAUUAUGAUUCUAAGGACACCAGGAACAAUGGUGGUUCUGGACGUUGGCUUUAUUUGGCAGGAACUUCCCCUAAUUUCCUAGAUUUUAUAAAUGAUUAAAUAGCUUAUAGAAAGAUUGAUUAUAUGCAUUAAUGUGUACUUUCCCUUUACCUUCUAUGUUUAAUAGAAGGAAAAACAUUGAAGAAAAUAACUUUUUAUGAUUCAACGACAUCUAGGAUCCACCAGAUCGACCUCUUAGAAGUAAAACGAAGUACCUUAAAAUUUUCUUUUUGUUUUUUUCAGCCAGCACCGAUGCAAACAAUCCAUAAUCCAGUGGCAGCAGAACCUGUUCUCCACGGUGCUGAAUCUGCUGAUAGUAAAGACGAAGAUGGAUCAACUUCAGUUAAGUGUGAUCCAUGGAAUCCUGAACUUCCUCCUCCUGCUGCUGCCAUAUAUGAAGCAGAUGACUUGAAUGUCCAACUGAAAAUGAUUUUUGAGGUACGAUUACAAGCCACGCAUGCGCUAUUUGACUCCUUCAUUUCCUAGAAUCCCUUUUAUUUGCAUCGGUUUCUAACUGACACUUUAUUCAUCAGUAUGAAGCUCAAAAUGACAAGAUACUCUCUGAGUCCAGAUCUAGAAGCAUAAUUACCCCAAAGCGCACUCCUAAGGUUCCUAGCUCAUUUCGUUUAGUAUACUUUCAGUUAUGCUGCAUUUUUUCUGUAAAUAUCUUGUGACAGUACAAUUCAUUAGCUUAAUAUGUAUUCAGCAUGAUUUUAUUUGCUCUGACCUAUCAGCUCGAUAACUGACUGACUGUUACCGUUUCCGAAACAUGAAUGUAUAAAUCUAGUCUGUGCGUCUUGACUUCUGUGUGAUAUCACCCUGCUUGUCAACCAUCUUGAAGAAGGAUAGUGUCCGGAGCUUCCUCAAUCUCUUCGCCGGAAAUUGGCGACGCUUGGUAUGGGGCCGGGUCAUCACCCCGCACACCUUCAACUUCAUUGUGAGACACGAUGCCUUGCACUGUGCCAAGGUUGCCGUGGAAGGCAAGGCGCCAAAGCUCGGCGUGGGAACCGGGCCAACCCUAAUUACAUGAACAGCUUUGAGUCUUUCCCCCUUCACCAAGCAGCUAUGAUGUUUUCUCUUGACAUGAUCAACUUGCUUAUAGACUACGGGGCAUCAGCCAAUGUACACAUUGAGGGGAAUAAAGUCAUUGAGGGUCUUCUUCCACUUCAUGUUGCCGUUGAGGAUGCUUGCAUGCAUAAGUAUCUUGAGGUAAUGCUCCUUGCAGCCCAAAAACAGUUGUGUAACCUGAAUGGGUUUGAUAUUAUCAAGUUGCGCAUUUUUGAUUCCACAGUUUCCCUAGAACUACAAGGAUCCGGAUUGGAGAGGGGUAAGAAUCGCAAGGCACAUAAGCUGUUGAAGGAGAAGAAGUACCUUUUCCAAUGUGUCUGUACUUGUUUUUAUAAUUCUGCGAGCUAGUGAAGCUCUUGAUGCAUACGUGCAAACACAUUCAGAGGUGCAUUGCUUUCCCUGAUCUCUUCCUUGUGCCAAAUAUUAUAGUAUACACUAAAAAUGGAAGUAAUUCAUGAAUCACGAGGCUCAGUUGUUGUAGGUGCCCCAUCACGAGGUACUAGAAUAUGUUUCAUCAGUUCUCAAGGAUUAUGGUUUCUCCCCUACUGGAAAAGGCAUUGAUGUUGGAUAUCUUUACUGGUUUGUCUAUCUAUCUGCAUUCUCUUUCAUUCAUUGCCAUUCCAUAUACACAUUUACACAAUGAUCUUAUACUUUUCCCCCAAUUGUUCUUGAAGCCACCCUUAUGAUUGCGGUGAGUCAGAGGAUACAAUACAAAGGAUGUGGUUUCUAUUUGUGCUUUCUCCAUUUUUUUUUUUGCCAAAUCUAACAAAUAAUAACACAUGUUCUAUGACGGAGAACAGGGAACCUGGAUACAACCCAAACAGCUAUGGAAUCAUCUAAUCUGAAGGUAUAGUAUCUCCAAUCCAAGGCCUGUGUCUUUUCUAUUUUUUGGGGAAUAUUAUAACCUGUUUAAUUUCAAUAUUUUUUAUUCCAUUUACUUGUGGGGGUAGAAAGGUUUGUUUAGUUCAUCUGGCUAACUUUAGACCAAAUACCAUGCCCUGCAUAUGCCAUGUUUUUGUUGGGAAGUGAAAUUAACUAUGGCCCCAAGUACCAUCCUUAUUUUCUCGUUUAUUUUGCAUAUGUUAAGAACUUUAGUCGUUACCAGUUAUCUACUGCGAAAUAUAAUUCUAGAAUUGUUUACUGCAGCCUUUUCAAAGUUCUUUGGUGGCUUGAUAUGGCAUGUUUAUCAUUUAGUUAUAGAAAAUUUCAUGUGCAGGAGUACUUUAUAGAACACAUAUGCACAAAUUCAAGUAGUUUCUUGAAUCUUAUCGUGAUUCAUAUACAUAUACUAUUGCAAUUGACUUUGUGGAAUUUUCUCUGUUAGCUGGGAAAUAUAUCAAUGAGGGAUUGAAAAUCAACGCUUAGUACUGUAAUAAUGUAAUUAAUAUAUAUAUCUCGAUCUAGUACCAGCUGUCGUUCUUGGAUUUCUGACACUGAGAUGUUUGGUUGAUCCAACAACUAACCAGGCUGUGGGAAAGCAAGCACCCCAAAGACAAGAUUACAGGAUGUUCAUUCCCUACUGGAGAUCAAUGUUGCAAUCUCGUUUGCCCGUUAGGAUGAUUCUGGCUCAUGCAUUGAAGUCACAGCACAAGCCAGGCACUCGACGGUUUCAUACCGCUGCUGGUAGUUCAGGAAACAUGUCAAAGGAUGGGAGAUCUCUGUUUCUGAACUGCAGCCUUCGAUUGAUGGGAAGGGCUCCACAGCUGCGAAUUCAUCAGUCGAGGAGGAUGUAUACCACUGCUGCGCUUUUUUUUUAAGAAGAACUCAUCCUGCUUUUAUAGAAAGCCAUAAAGGUUUGUUACAGAGCGUUUGCUGGGAAUACCAGCUUACAAGAGAGAACUUCAGAAAAGCCUAGCAACAUACUAAGCUGAAUAAUCUGCAGACAUAUGCUAAAAGAUUACACCAUCGGAGUCUAUCGUAGAAGGUAACAGCAGCUCAAAUGAAGUCCUCCAUCGGGUCUUGAUUGCGUUCCUCUGCUAGGAAUCCUUUCACCCAGGUCACCACUUGGUUGUUUAGCCAUUCCAGGCAGCCUUUGUCAGACUCCUGCAGCAAUAUUUUCCACCUCUGCAAGUAAGAUGAGAUAGCAAAAAUGACAUCACAGGGUGAAUUUGAGAAUUUGCGUUCAAUUCUCAGCUUGUUUCGUUGAUUCUAUAACACCCACAAGAUUAUUGCAAACGAAAAAAAACAUAUCAUAAUUAGCUCCUCCCAAAACUAGCCACCACCUUAGAAACUCCUGCAGGCCGCAUGGAGUGUUCUCCCAGCUGAGGGCUUCCUUGAAACACACUCAAACAAAUUUAGCUAAGAUGCAUUGAAAGAAAAUAUGAUCAGAAGUUUCUAGCAUCCCACAUAAUGGGCAUCUGGCAUCUCCUUUCCAUCCUUUUCUCUUCAACGCCACACUAGACGGUAAUCUGCUAUGGAACAGAGACCAUAGGAACACCCUUAGUUUCAUCGGCAGUUUGCUUUUCCACAGUCUGAUCGCACAUCUGUCCUGCACACCCCUAAAAGUUAGAAAUCUGUACAUAGACUUGGUUGUGUACUGUCCCUUGUUCUCAAGACUCCAGACCACCUUGUCCCUUUGGCCAUUCAGGUAAGCCCUUGUUUACUUCCCUCCAAACUCCCAACUUUGACACUAUGCAAAAAGAAGAUUCCCCAUCACAUCAAACUUGCGGUACAUGCAUGGAGUACUAAAUGUAGACGAAAUCAAAAACUAAUUGCACAGUUUUGUUGUACUUUGCGAGACGAAUCUUUUGAGCCUAAUUAGUCAAUAUUUGGAUAAUAAUUCACAUAUACAAACGAAACGCUACAGUGUCGCAUUUAUGGCAAAAUGCCAAUUUUGCAACUCCCAACUUGAGAAGUAAACAAGACCUAAAUAGGGUCAAGCUAGUGAAUCCCAUUCUCGAACUUCGUUGGGACCAAAUGGUCACCUGAAGUCCUCGCCAGCUAAAAAAAACACUUGCUGACCAGGACCUCUUGGUCCAUAUAGCCCGAGGAAUUCUAGUUUAAGGGGAACAUUAUCUACCUAAGUAUCUAUCUAAAACCUCACAGAUUUCCCAUUGUUAACUUGGAAGGUAGCUCCAAAGAAGAACUUAUCGUUGACUUUAUGUAGCCCUUUCCAGAACUGAGACCCCCUGCCCCCUUGCUAUGGAUAAAAGUAGUGUUUCUAAGGUAUUUCGCUUUUAGGAAGGAGCAACACAUGUCCCCCUCCUCUGAAUUGUAUAUUCUUCAUACCUAUUUGAGGAGCAACGCUUCAUUUAGGAUUCUAGUGUUCAUUAUGCCCAGCCCACCAUAGUCCUUAGGGAUGCACAAUUUUUCUCAUUUAACCAUGUGGUAUUUGAAUUUAUCCUCAGCCCCCCUCCAGAAAAAAUCUUGAUCUGAUUGUGUCCAUCUGUUGGUGCGUCCCCUCAUGGAGCAUGAACAUUCCCAUAAGAUAGAUAGGCAUGCUACUAAGGGAGGAGUUUGUGAGAUUGAGUCUCCCACCAGAUGUCAGGUUCUUCCCCUUCCAAGGUUGUAGCUUAUUUCUCAUUUUGCCCACCAUUCCCCCAAAGGCCUGCAGACCUACAUUCUUAUCACUCAUAGGAAUGCUUAGGUAAGACAUUGGAUCCCCCCCCCCCCACACACACUAUGCAAUUUAGUGUAUCUGCAAUUCUGGAUUGUUCCUCUUCCGAGACACCGAAGGUCAGAACCUCGCUCUUGUGGUAGUUGAUUUUAAAGUACAACAGGAAUUUCAUGUUGAUUAUAGUCUUGUCAUCGCAAUCCAUCAUAAUGGCCGUAUCAUCUGCGUACUGAAUAUGAGUGAGCCUCCUGGGAACUAGGUUGGGAACCACCACUCUAAUGUGACCUUUCUAUUUAGCUUUGUUCAGGAUGUGGUCUAAGGCAUCUACAGCUAGGUUAAAAAGCAAAGGUGACAGCGGGUCCCCCUGCCGCAACCUCCUGUGUGUCUUAAAGUAUGGCACAUUUUCGUCAUUGGUGUUAACACAUACUUUCCUGCCUGGAUUGUGCUUAUGAUCCAUUGGAUGACGAGAGGAUCAAAGCCUUUCCUCUUUAGAACCUGUUCUACAAAAACCCAACUUACGCUAUCAUAAGCCUUCUCGAAGUCGAUCAUCAUUAUCACCCCCUUUUGUUUCUUCUGUCUCAGCUCAUGCAUGGUCUCAAGUAAGAGGACCGUACUGUCUAAGAUGUAUCUCCCAUUGAUGAAUGCUGACUGGCACUUUCCUACCACCUUGUCUGCUAGUUUGGAUAAUCUUGACAUUAUCAGUCGUGUGAAGAUUUUGAAGCUGACAUUGAGGAGACAAAUGGGCUUGUACUGCUUGACAUUGUUAGCAUUCCCUCCUUUCAGCACCAACGUGAUAACCCCGUAAUUCAGUCUUGUCAUGUCUAAUUCCCCCCUUAGAAGUCAUUUAUCAUUUCCAUUAGUUCCCCUUUGGUUAGAUUCUAGAAAUUUUUGUAGAAUGACACCCCAAAACAUAUGGUCUAGGAGCUGAGUCUUCCUUCAUUUCAAAUACCACCUUGUUCACUUCUUCUUAAGAAAAAAGCUUGGUUAGGGCCUCAUUAUCCUGUUGAUCCAGCCUUCAUUCCGUCACCCAGGCUUCUUCACUCAAGGUUACCCUUCCUUCUUCUCUUCUCCCAAAGAGCCCCUUGUAGUAGUCAUAGAUGAUUUUUCUAAAUUUGUUGUUGGUCCAUGACGUUCUCCCCAUUAUGUUCUAGAGACAGGAUAGUUUUUUUUUCUCCUCCUCCCAUUUGCAGUAAGAUGGAAGAAGGUUGUGUUGUUAUCUCCUUCUAGGAUCCAUUUCUCUCCCCCUCUCUUCUGUCAUAAUAUCUUCCAGCUCCACCUCCAAUCGGACCCUUUCCUCCAGUUGUCCAACGGUUGCCACCCUAGAGUCAUUAUUGUCAAUCUGUUUGAUUCUUCCUAGAAGUUCCUCCUUCCUCCUUCCUCCUUCUGUAUGCACCCCUCGUAUUAGCCCCCCAUCCUUUGAGAAAUUGCCGAAGGGGAGAGAUCUGUCCAUGCCAGAUAUCAAGUGAGUAGGCUUCAUCUGGGCAUCUUUCCCUUCCUGCCAGCCACUUUUCUUCCACUAGUGAUUUGAAAUCGUUCUGUUUCACCCAUUGUUUGUCAUAGAAGAAUUGUUUGCAUUUACGCCCUAGGUCUUGCUUCUCCCCCUUAUUAAGCAAGAGCGGGCAGUGAUCUGAACACACUCAGGUUAGACUUGUUAGAGAUGAAAGCGGAAAGUUUUGUUCCCAAUCAGUUGUCAUCAGAACUCGAUCUAUGUUACUCAUCACUGGGUUGGUCUGUUGUUCGUCCAUGUGAAUCUCGCCUCCUUAUAUUCCAGAUAAGUAUCUUCAUUUGUAACUAAUUCUUUUGAGCUCUCUGCUCAGCUUAUCGCCCUCCUAGUAGUUUUAGUGACUUUCUUGUUUACAGAGAAACCUGAUGUACCACUGCUGCGCUUUCACUGCUGAAAAUGUAGAAGCGCGCAUAAGUAGAAAGGUAUGCCGGGUAUGUUCUUUCUUAUUCUCGAUCUUGUGACUCUUAGCAAAACGUCCUUGUAUUUAUCAUGUUUCGGUUUUGCAGGUACUUGCAACUUUCAGUGGUGAUCUGGCAUGCAUGGUUUAUCAGCGUUGGAUGGGCUUUUGAGCUUUUUGGUCGGGCUGUAGUGAGUUAAGUGACAGCACGCAAGGACGAUGCAAAUCCGUAUGCAUUUUUCAAUUGUAUACGCGUCUGAUAGGUGUUCUUUUGAUGGAUAUUUAGAAAUUAAAGGAGUGUACUGCUACACAUCCACUGAUUGCUACCGUGGCUGUCUGACCAAAGAACAUCACGCCCACCACAACUCACAACUGUGUCGUGCGUUGUUGCCGCGAGCGCACCUCUGAGUUGUCAGUUGUUGCUGCUGCUUUGUUGUGUUUUUGUUUUUCUCCUCCUAAUAAAAAUUUGACAACUUUCUUUCGGAAAAGAAACUGUGUCGUGCGUGCACUACCGAUCAUGCAUACUUGGUAAAAUUGGAAGGCCAGCAUCGUGAUAGCACACAGCUGAAAACAUCACGUGUUUGUGCCAGGAAGGGCUAAAAUCAAAAUCUUCAUUUAUUUCUAUAGUAGAAAAUCGUGUACACUAGUAAUGUUAAUCAAGCGUAUCUUUGGUUGGGGGUAGUUUUCCAUGUUCUCGUGCUGGUUUGUGGGUAAAUUGGCUUCCAAGGACAUCGCGUAACAAUAGAGAAGAGGUUUGUUAACAAUCCAUCUGAAGUCCCAGCAGCAGCAUGGCGUGGUGCUCUUCCUUCGGCAGAACCGCAGGAGCUCGAAGCUCCGGCAGCCUGGUGCUUGGGGUGCUCCCAUCACCGGAGCACUUGGAUCCGUUGGAUGCAAAGAUCAUGGUACAUGUGUAACAUGACCUGGACUGCCCUCAAUUUCGCUCAAUUUCCGAAAAGUGCAAGAGCGAAGAUGCAAAAGAGCAAUAGAUGCAAAGCUCCUCCAUGAUCUUGAUCUUACAUCCGACGGAUGCAAGUGCUCCGGUGAAUGGGAGCCUUUCGGUAUCGUUUUCGCCGCUGCCCUCUCUCCACCGCUUUGGCCUGCUAUUUAUAGACCGAGCGGCAGGGCAGGGCAGUUACGUUCAUCUACGGUGAUCUCGCGCUCUCUCAUUUGAAUUUUGUAUUCGUUCGGCGCUGGCGCCGCGUCAGAAACGCGGUGGAGUCCAUGGGCGACGCCGUGUGGACUAGUCCUCGACCUCUUUUCUUUAUUUUGUUCAAAAUCCAAUCACUAGUUCCUCAAUGUUUCAAGCGAUGCUAGCUGGUGCCGUAAGCCCGUAACUACCUACUGCUACGCAUGACACACCUUUAAUUUUGUUUUAUUAAUUCGGACGGUGCUCUGCGCAGGGAGUUUCCGCUGCCUGGCAUGUGGGUCACAUCUUGGCGAUUAAGCUAAUGUUUAGUAAUUAUCUGCCGGGCGCCGGGCGCCAUGAACGAUCCUGCUGUCUUGGUACAUACACCUCUAUCCGUACAUAUAUACUUUGAUGUAUAUUAUUAAAUUUCACAGCUAAUACCAAAUUAUAUCGGUUUUCUUCAUUAUGGAGCAAUUAUUUUCCCUUAUGAAUUGAUUUCUUCGAAUGGGAUUUAGCCAUCAACUAAUUUUACAUUUUGGGACAGGUCAAAUAAAAUUGGUGUCAGCAUGUAGAAUUGUAGAUUUGCCUUGUUAAAAAAAUCGAAUCCGAGAUUACGCUAUCACGACAUUCCAAACACACAGCAUGCGACGUUUUAAAUCUACUACACACAAAUCACCGUGACCAAAAAAGAAA
Molecule: long non-coding RNA, 13725 nt
Filed under: Setaria viridis
Lineage: Eukaryota; Viridiplantae; Streptophyta; Magnoliopsida; Poales; Poaceae
Description: long non-coding RNA (SVIR_LNC002788)
Source: RNAcentral